AAGUCGUAACAAGGUUUCCGUAGGUGAACCUGCGGAAGGAUCAUUAUCGAAUUCAGGAAAGACUGUUGCUGGCAGAAAUGCAUGUGCACGUCCUACCUUGCCCCCUUACACACCUGUGCACCUUUUGUAGGUCCUCGGAAAGAGGAUCUAUGUUUUACUAUCAUCACAUCCAAUGUAUGUCUAGAAUGUGAAUCAACUAUCGAUCUUCACGGGUCGAUAAAUGAUAAAUAAAUAUACAACUUUCAGCAACGGAUCUCUUGGCUCUC
This 266-nucleotide unclassified non-coding RNA is filed under the name Imleria pallida. RNAcentral describes it as "Boletus pallidus partial internal transcribed spacer region". The stretch from base 1 to 46 matches the Rfam family "Eukaryotic small subunit ribosomal RNA", at positions 1786 to 1831 of the family's 1831-position model. Lineage: Eukaryota; Fungi; Basidiomycota; Agaricomycetes; Boletales; Boletaceae. The record is from RNAcentral.